AUAUACUAUAUUAAACGGUAAGAUGUUCAUCUGUACAUUGCUUAAUGAUUAAUUCAGCUGACAUCGAUAUUCACAAAUGGUUUAUAAUUAAAUUUAGCACAUUCAUUAUUCGUAUCUUUGCCUUAAUCAAGAGAUUUUCAAGUGCAUCACUAAGGAAAAUCAGUCGGUGAACCUAAAAACAAUCUUUUUGCACCCUUACUGUACAAAUUAACGUAAAAACCAGACUUAAUUUACUAAAUAAAGUAUAUUUUAAGUGGUGGUAAAAGUUUCAGCCAGAUCUUUGAAGCCAGAAAUAAGAAAAUUACACUUGUUUGAAUUUCUCACUGUACGAUCAGUCUCGCUUGUAUAUUUUGAAACUGUAUGAUCAGUCUUUAUUUCACUGUAUUCUAGUAGUGAUUUCAAAGUUAUUUACGAUACAUUAGAAGAUGGCAUUUUUCUAAAUAACACAAAUAUAUUUUAAUAAAUUCACAUCCUGUAAACUUUUCAAACAUGUUUUAGCUUGAUAGGGUGUACUCGACUUACUACAUUAAGUAUAAGGAUGUUUGAAUGUGGCUGAAAUAAGAAGAAGGUUUGUUUGUUUAUAGAAGUUUCAGAAAUGUCCUCCGUUAUACUUAAAAUUGUACAAACACACAGAUUUAAUUGUUAUAUAAAAAUGCAUGAAUUUACAAACAUUCGAGGCCGUACUGUAGCCUAUAAUUGAUCACAGUUCCUUCACUUUGUUUUGGAUGUAGAUCUGUCUCUUUCACACUCAAUUGUACACCACUUUGUAAAGCGGUGGUUUAUAGUGAUAAUGAAGUCCGUCUUUCCGUUCGUCCGUUGGACCGGUACAACAUGUUUCGCCGGUUUUGCAAGCGCAUCUCCUCAUAAACCACUUAAUAUACAUUGGGGUUUCCAGACAUUUUUAAAUGGAGAGGGGGUCCAAUCCAGGAGAAAAGAGGAUUCCAAAUAUAUGUUCCCAUACAAAUGCAUUGAAAGUUAAAAAAGAGUUUCAAACCGCCGGAUCCCAAUUUUCUUGAAUCCGUCACUGGUAUAACUAUUAAUUAUUUUUUUCUCGGAUUCCGUAUCAUAAAUUAUAAUAUAAAAAAGAAGAUGCGGUAUGAUUGCCAAUGAGACAACCGUCCACAAGAGAUCAAAAUGACACAGACAUUAACAAAUAUAGGUCACCGUAUGGCCUUCAACAAUAAGCAAAGCCAAUACCACAAAGUCAGCUAUAAAAGGCCCCGAAAUGACAAUGUAAAACAAUUCAAACGAGAAAAUUAACGGCCUUAUUUAUAUAAAAAAAGGAAUGUAUUUCGAAUUUUAUUAAAAAUCUUUUAUGGGGUUUCUUUAUAUAAGAUACGGACUUGAACAUUGCAUUAUAUGGGGGCACCCAUCAGGUAUUUCCAACCGUGACCUCCAAAACCAAUUGUUAAAAUUUUUCUAAAAUUGCUCCAUUUUUAUAUCAAUUAAUGUAUUAUGGACCUUCUAUUUCGAAUUUUUGGUAAAAAUAUUUUUGAUGUUUCUAUAUCUAAAAUACGGACUUUGUCAUAACCUUAUAUUGGGCGUACCUUUUUUAUAUCCACAACUUCCUUCAGACACUUGUCAUAACUUAAUGAAUCUUUUUCAGAUUCCUUAUCAUUUAAUUCAAUUGUGGUACCUCUUUAUUUUGAGUUUUCGAAAAUUCAUCAGUUUUCUAUUUCCAUGAUAAGGACUUUUCCACUACCUUAUUGGGUGGUACCCAUUUACUAUACGCAACUUUCAAAAACUUACCAUAUAUUAAUAAAACUUCCUCAUAUUCUUUAUUAAAUGAUGCCCCUGUGCACCUAUAAUUUAGUUUUUUUGGUUUUUUUUUUUUCCAAAACAUGGACUAUAGAAGUGGCGGGGUAUAAUUUCGUUAAUUCUUUCCUCAAUACCUAAAGUUUUUAAACAAAGCUUUCUCUAUCUAUUUUUUGUAAUUUUAAAAGAGACAAGCUUGAUGUAUGUUAUCACCAAUUGGUCAACGGCAGACGGUGUAAAUAGUCUUUAAAAAUGUAAUAGUUAAACAGAUAACUGCAACGACACACUAAUACAAAGUCCACAAGCGAAUCAUGUAUUGCUUUUUAGGCAUUUGAUUUUAAAUAAAAUGAACAAAAAUAUAAUUAUUUUGCCGUCUACAAAAAUCAUC
RNAcentral lists this long non-coding RNA (2143 nucleotides) under Mytilus galloprovincialis (Mediterranean mussel). The record is from RNAcentral. Lineage: Eukaryota; Metazoa; Mollusca; Bivalvia; Mytilida; Mytilidae.